This 231-nucleotide ribosomal RNA is filed under the name uncultured bacterium. RNAcentral's name for it is "partial 16S ribosomal RNA". It matches the Rfam family "Bacterial small subunit ribosomal RNA", at positions 104 to 334 of the family's 1533-position model. The record is from RNAcentral.
UGGGUGAGUAACACGUAUCCAACCUGCCGUCUACUCUUGGACAGCCUUCUGAAAGGAAGAUUAAUACAAGAUGGCAUCAUGAGUCCACAUGUUCACAUGAUUAAAGGUAUUCCGGUAGACGAUGGGGAUGCGUUCCAUUAGAUAGUAGGCGGGGUAACGGCCCACCUAGUCUUCGAUGGAUAGGGGUUCUGAGAGGAAGGUCCCCCACAUUGGAACUGAGACACGGUCCAA